UACGUAGGGUGCGAGCGUUAAUCGGAAUUACUGGGCGUAAAGUGUGCGCAGGCGGCUUUGCAAGACAGGUGUGAAAUCCCCGGGCCUAACCUGGGAACUGCAUUUGUGACUGCAUGGCUAGAGUUUGUCAGAGGGGGGUGGAAUUCCACGUGUAGCAGUGAAAUGCGUAGAUAUGUGGAGGAACACCGAUGGCGAAGGCAGCCCCCUGGGAUGUGACUGACGCUCAUGUACGAAAGCGUGGGGAGCAAACAGG
Molecule: ribosomal RNA, 253 nt
Filed under: uncultured bacterium
Lineage: Bacteria
Description: partial 16S ribosomal RNA
Rfam family: Bacterial small subunit ribosomal RNA
Source: RNAcentral